This 71-nucleotide transfer RNA is filed under the name Salinispora arenicola. RNAcentral's name for it is "tRNA-Phe". The record is from RNAcentral. Lineage: Bacteria; Bacillati; Actinomycetota; Actinomycetes; Micromonosporales; Micromonosporaceae.
AGCCCACUGAGCUGGGCAUUUGUCUACGACUGAAAAUCGGAAGGUCGGCGGUUCGACCCCGCCCCUGGCCA